UGGGGAAUUUUGCACAAUGGGGGAAACCCUGAUGCAGCGACGCCGCGUGAUUUAGAAGGCCUUCGGGUUGUAAAAAUCUUUUCUAUGGGAAGAAAAUGACAGUACCAUAGGAAUAAGGACCGGCUAAUUACGUGCCAGCAGCCGCGGUAAUACGUAAGGUCCGAGCGUUGUCCGGAAUCAUUGGGCGUAAAGGGUACGUAGGCGGGUAAGCAAGUUAGAAGUGAAAUCCUAUAGCUCAACUAUAGUAAGCUUUUUAAACUGCUCAUCUUGAGGUAUGGAAGGGAAAGUGGAAUUCCUAGUGUAGCGGUGAAAUGCGCAGAUAUUAGGAGGAAUACCGGUGGCGAAGGCGACUUUCUGGCCAUAACCUGACGCUGAGGUACGAAAGCGUGGGUAGCAAACAGG
RNAcentral lists this ribosomal RNA (402 nucleotides) under bacterium. Its description in RNAcentral is "partial 16S ribosomal RNA". It matches the Rfam family "Bacterial small subunit ribosomal RNA", at positions 355 to 776 of the family's 1533-position model. RNAcentral also lists the same sequence under 1 other name. The record is from RNAcentral.